AUUAAGGUGGCAGAGCGGCAAUUGCAUAAAACUUAAAUCUUUAUAAUCAGAGGUUCAAAUCCUCUCCUUAAUA
RNAcentral lists this transfer RNA (73 nucleotides) under Osphranter robustus (common wallaroo). RNAcentral's name for it is "tRNA-Leu". It matches the Rfam family "tRNA". From Rfam's summary of the family: Transfer RNA (tRNA) molecules are approximately 80 nucleotides in length. The record is from RNAcentral. Lineage: Eukaryota; Metazoa; Chordata; Mammalia; Diprotodontia; Macropodidae.